GACGAACGCUGGCGGCGUGCUUAACACAUGCAAGUCGAGCGGUAAGGCUCCUUCGGGCGUACACGAGCGGCGAACGGGUGAGUAACACGUGAGUAAUCUGCCCUUCACUUCGGGAUAACCACCGGAAACGGUGGCUAAUACCGAAUACGACCAGUCUUCGCAUGAGGUGCUGGUGGAAAGUCUUUUCGGUGAAGGAUGUGCUCGCGGCCUAUCAGCUUGUUGGUGGGGUAAUGGCCUACCAAGGCUUCGACGGGUAGCCGGCCUGAGAGGGUGACCGGCCACACUGGGACUGAGACACGGCCCAGACUCCUACGGGAGGCAGCAGUGGGGAAUAUUGGACAAUGGGCGAAAGCCUGAUCCAGCAACGCCGCGUGAGGGAUGACGGCCUUCGGGUUGUAAACCUCUUUCAGUACCGACGAAGCGCCCUGUCGGGUGGUGACGGUAGGUACAGAAGAAGGACCGGCCAACUACGUG
This 474-nucleotide ribosomal RNA is filed under the name uncultured bacterium. RNAcentral's name for it is "partial 16S ribosomal RNA". It matches the Rfam family "Bacterial small subunit ribosomal RNA", at positions 28 to 507 of the family's 1533-position model. The record is from RNAcentral.